AACAAGGUUUCCGUAGGUGAACCUGCGGAAGGAUCAUUACCGAGUUGAUUCGGGCUCCGGCCCGAUCCUCCCACCCUUUGUGUACCUACCUCUGUUGCUUUGGCGGGCCGCGGUCCUCCGCGGCCGGCCCCCCUCCCCGGGGGGUGGCCAGCGCCCGCCAGAGGACCAUCAAACUCCAGUCAGUAAACGAUGCAGUCUGAAAAACAUUUAAUAAACUAAAACUUUCAACAACGGAUCUCUUGGUUCUGGCAUCGAUGAAGAACGCAGCGAAAUGCGAUAAGUAAUGUGAAUUGCAGAAUUCAGUGAAUCAUCGAAUCUUUGAACGCACAUUGCGCCCUUUGGUAUUCCGAAGGGCAUGCCUGUUCGAGCGUCAUUACAACCCUCAAGCUCUGCUUGGUAUUGGGCACCGUCCUUUGCGGGCGCGCCUCAAAGACCUCGGCGGUGGCGUCUUGCCUCAAGCGUAGUAGAACAUACAUCUCGCUUCGGAGCGCAGGGCGUCGCCCGCCGGACGAACCUUCUGAACUUUUCUCAAGGUUGACCUCGGAUCAGGUAGGGAUACCCGCUGAACUUAAGCAUAUCAAUAAGCGGAGGA
Molecule: ribosomal RNA, 592 nt
Filed under: Botryosphaeria dothidea
Lineage: Eukaryota; Fungi; Ascomycota; Dothideomycetes; Botryosphaeriales; Botryosphaeriaceae
Description: eukaryotic LSU rRNA
Rfam family: 5.8S ribosomal RNA (bases 220-373)
Source: RNAcentral